Long non-coding RNA from Cucumis melo (muskmelon), 828 nucleotides. RefSeq lists it as uncharacterized. The record is from RefSeq and is a predicted model, not a curated record. The transcript is spliced from 2 exons. Lineage: Eukaryota; Viridiplantae; Streptophyta; Magnoliopsida; Cucurbitales; Cucurbitaceae.
UCCUGCCAAAAGAAAAAGGCAACCAACCACAAGCAGUAUUAGAAGCUAUGAAGCGCGUAUUCUUCAUGUGAAAUAGAGAAUAAAUAUGAAAUACGAUACUGAUAUUCUGAGAUACUUCCUAAAUAUAUUCAGUAUAAUACAACUCAGCGUUGUUUUUCUUAUAGAUAUUGGAUAUGGCAUCACCUUCUAUAACUAACCUGUGUAAAGUCCACUGCCCCAAACCAUAGCUAGAAGUAAAAAAUUGAAAGCCAAUCAUGUAAUCUUCGUGCCCUAGUCCCCACAAAGUUGUUCAAAAAAUAACCCACUUGAUUAACUUCAAGGAAGAAGUUAUUCCUUUAGAUUGCUAGAAAGCUUACUUGAGAUUGGGAUCGAGGUAGAGAAGAGACUGGACUGAUCCAAACUGAUUGACUCUAGUUUGAACACCAAUUUCAUUUCUGUAAUCAUCCAAAUCUUUUUCAUAAUGAAGUGUCAUUCGGCGAGCAAAGCAAUCUGUGUAUGGUGCCAACAGAACAGUAGGGCUGAACCAAAGCCUGAACCAACCUUGUGAGUCCUUCAUGAUUGGAUUCCAACGGCUGCAAAAUAAGGAAGAGGAUUUGUAGUCUUUGGUGAGGCGAGCUUCCAAUUGGUUCCCACCAGCUCCGGGGAUGAGGAUGAGAGGGUGGAGGGAGUUUCUUGAUUCACACAUGUACAACUGAUGCACCAAAGCCAUUGAAACUAUGGCGAUGAUUUUCAGUUCACCCUUCAUCUUCAUCUUCUUUCCAUGCCUGUAAAUUGUUCUUUCAUCUCCAUUAUUAUUAUUAUCCCACUUUUUUUCAUGGCUUUCAUCAA